RNAcentral lists this ribosomal RNA (468 nucleotides) under uncultured bacterium. RNAcentral describes it as "partial 16S ribosomal RNA". It matches the Rfam family "Bacterial small subunit ribosomal RNA", at positions 28 to 507 of the family's 1533-position model. The record is from RNAcentral.
GACGAACGCUGGCGGCGUGCUUAACACAUGCAAGUCGAACGGAAAGGCCCUGCUUUUGUGGGGUGCUCGAGUGGCGAACGGGUGAGUAACACGUGAGUAACCUGCCCUUGACUUUGGGAUAACUUCAGGAAACUGGGGCUAAUACCGGAUAGGAGCUCCUGCUGCAUGGUGGGGGUUGGAAAGUUUCGGCGGUUGGGGAUGGACUCGCGGCUUAUCAGCUUGUUGGUGGGGUAGUGGCUUACCAAGGCUUUGACGGGUAGCCGGCCUGGGAGGGUGGCCGGCCACCUUGGGACUGAGGUACGGCCCAGACUCCUACGGUAGGCAACAGUGGAGAAUCUUGCACAGUGGGCGGGAGCCUGAUGCGACGGCGCCGCGUGCGUGAUGCCGGCCUUCGGGUUGUGAACCGCUUUCGCCUGUGACGAAGCGUGAGUGACGGUAAUGGGUAAAGAAGCACCGGCUAACUACGUG